UCUCUGUUAGUAUAUCGGUUAGUACACGCGCUUGUCAUCUCUAAGACGCCUCCGAUCCGCGCGAAAGCUGGGUUCGACUCCCAGACAGAGAG
Phlegmacium glaucopus is the source of this 92-nucleotide non-coding RNA. Lineage: Eukaryota; Fungi; Basidiomycota; Agaricomycetes; Agaricales; Cortinariaceae. The record is from the annotation of a GenBank genome assembly.